Long non-coding RNA from Zonotrichia albicollis (white-throated sparrow), 560 nucleotides. NCBI's taxonomy places the organism in Eukaryota, Metazoa, Chordata, Aves, Passeriformes, Passerellidae. The record is from Ensembl.
GUGGAAUUUGCAUUUUUUCCUUUUGUGGUAAAGCAUUAUGUGAGUAAGAUGAAGUUUGCAGUUCCUUUUUCACAUCCUUUUGUCCUUCUUUAGUCUAAGGGAUUUUAGCCCUGAAGGGUCCACUAAAAUUUUGCAAGAAGACUUUUGAAGAGAGGCUUGAGCAUGUGCUGAGUUUCCUGCACUGAAGCUUCCAUCGAAGAUACACAAGGAUGGACUCAAUGUUUGCUGCAGCUUCCUGGGAAGGGGGAAAACCAACUUUAGGGCCUUGAAAGCUAAGGAGAAAGAGAGCUCUCAAUCUCCAGCCAGCUUUAGAUUAUGAUCUGUGAACUACGAUGGAGGCACAGAGCUACUGAUCCCUUCCUUGUCCUUGCUUAUAUAAGGGUUCCUGCCGUCUGUCCAAGAAGUAGCAGUUGCCUCUACAUGGCUACAGGGAAGCCAGGUCCCAUGUGCAGCUUCUGGUGGGUCAGGCAUUAUGAGUGCACAAGCAGGACGUGGCCUGCUGAACCUUACCUUGUGGAGUGCUGAUUGUGAGCUGAAGACAGCCCUGAGCAGAAGCACAG